Molecule: small RNA, 124 nt
Filed under: Marmota monax (woodchuck)
Lineage: Eukaryota; Metazoa; Chordata; Mammalia; Rodentia; Sciuridae
Source: RNAcentral
GCUGGGUGAGGUGGCGCGCUUCUGUAAUCCUAGUGGUUGGGAGGCUGGGGCAGGAGGAUCAUGAGUUCAAAGUCAGCCUCACAAAAGCAAGGCGCCUAAGCAACUCAGUGAGACUCUGUCUUUA